Molecule: long non-coding RNA, 311 nt
Organism: Carassius auratus (goldfish)
Lineage: Eukaryota; Metazoa; Chordata; Actinopteri; Cypriniformes; Cyprinidae
Exons: 3
Source: RefSeq, a predicted model, not a curated record
AAAAAAAUGUCUGUGUGCCAAAAGAACCCAGUGUGUCCAUAAAGAGUGAUGGAUCAGUUAAAAGACAAAGAUUCUUCUUCUUCUUAUCAUGGUUUUGAUCAGGAAAGAUCAGAUUCACCUGCGCCCAGUGUUUUGUCGUUUAAGAGUGACCGAUCAAUGCAAAUGCCUAUUCAGCUAAGAAAUGAAACACUUCUACCACAACUAUGUUUGAAGGAGAGAUCGGACUCAUCUGCCCCUAGUGUUUUGUCCAUGAAGAGUGACCGGUCAAUGCAAAUGCCAAUUCAAAUGCAAAAUGGAUCAGAGCCGAUGGA